GAUGAACGCUGGCGGCGUGCCUAAUACAUGCAAGUCGAGCGAACAGACGAGGAGCUUGCUCCUCUGACGUUAGCGGCGGACGGGUGAGUAACACGUGGAUAACCUACCUAUAAGACUGGGAUAACUUCGGGAAACCGGAGCUAAUACCGGAUAAUAUAUUGAACCGCAUGGUUCAAUAGUGAAAGACGGUUUUGCUGUCACUUAUAGAUGGAUCCGCGCCGCAUUAGCUAGUUGGUAAGGUAACGGCUUACCAAGGCAACGAUGCGUAGCCGACCUGAGAGGGUGAUCGGCCACACUGGAACAGAGGCACGGUCCAGACACCUACGGGAGGCAGCAGUAGGGAAUCUUCCGCAAUGGGCGAAAGCCGGACGGAGCAACGCCGCGUGAGUGAUGAAGGUCUUCGGAUCGUAAAACUCUGUUAGUAGGGAAGAACAAAUGUGUAAGUAACUAUGCACGUCUUGACGGUACCUAAUCAGAAAGCCACGGCUAACUACGUG
This 497-nucleotide ribosomal RNA is filed under the name uncultured bacterium. RNAcentral describes it as "partial 16S ribosomal RNA". It matches the Rfam family "Bacterial small subunit ribosomal RNA", at positions 28 to 507 of the family's 1533-position model. The record is from RNAcentral.